UACAGAGGGUGCAAGCGUUAAUCGGAAUUACUGGGCGUAAAGCGCGCGUAGGUGGUUUGUUAAGUUGGAUGUGAAAGCCCCGGGCUCAACCUGGGAACUGCAUUCAAAACUGACAAGCUAGAGUAUGGUAGAGGGUGGUGGAAUUUCCUGUGUAGCGGUGAAAUGCGUAGAUAUAGGAAGGAACACCAGUGGCGAAGGCGACCACCUGGACUGAUACUGACACUGAGGCGCGAAAGCGUGGGGAGCAAACAGG
RNAcentral lists this ribosomal RNA (253 nucleotides) under uncultured bacterium. RNAcentral's name for it is "partial 16S ribosomal RNA". It matches the Rfam family "Bacterial small subunit ribosomal RNA", at positions 524 to 776 of the family's 1533-position model. The record is from RNAcentral.